Antechinus flavipes (yellow-footed antechinus) is the source of this 911-nucleotide long non-coding RNA. RefSeq lists it as uncharacterized. The transcript is spliced from 5 exons. Lineage: Eukaryota; Metazoa; Chordata; Mammalia; Dasyuromorphia; Dasyuridae. The record is from RefSeq and is a predicted model, not a curated record.
AGAAAGCAAAAUGUGACUGAAGUUAUUCCUCCUCUGCUUUCCAGAAUAGCCCCAUUGAUGACCAUUUAAAUAUCAAGCUUCAGGCAAAUGAGUGAAACGAUCCUAGCUAGACUCGAAGCGCUUGCUACUAUAACAGAUAUUAAGAAGAGGGCAAAAAAAAAAAAAUGUGGUUACAUAUGUUUUGGACAGCCACUGCUGCCCCUGCAACUCUUGCUACUUCGUUUGCUCUACAGAACCAUAUCUCCUCCACUCAAGCUCCACAUACAAACAUUACGGCUCUGUUUAGCAAAGUUAAAAAGAUUUUCUUUCUUCCCUUUUUUUAAAGAAAAAAGGGGAAAGAAAAAAGAAAGAAGAGAGUGAGAGAAAAGAAAGAAGGAAGGAAAAAGAAAGGGAGGAAAGAAGAAAGAAGGAAAGGAAAGGAAGGUCUGAAGAAGGCAAGUAAUUGAAAAACAGCACGAGAGCGAGGAGACGUGUGGACUUGUGGAUGGGGCAUGAAAGCGAUGGGAGAGACUUCAAAGAUUUGCCACGGAAAUAGCCUUCUUCUGGAAGGGAAGGCUCAAGGGAAGCGCAAUUUCAGAACUGCUGUUUCUUCUGGAUAUGUCACCCUGACUUUGUAGUUGCCACAGAAUGAAACGAAUGUUAUGGUGAAAACCCGGCGGCCAAAGCUGAGGAGUUCCACACACUAAAGACCCCAAAUUCCUCAACCUCCACAACCUGAGCUGUGUGGAGCAUCCACCAAAGAGAUGAGAGUGAAUCCUGAUCAUCUUGAGACAAGCUUUCCUGUUUUUCUUAAGGAUAAGAGUAUAAAUUGUGUGGAAGGAUGAAAACUUCCUCAGUGCAAUUAACAGAGAAACUCCAGCCUGCCGCAUGCCUGAGCCAGAAUAAAGUGAUCUUUAUGUAUACACAUUAAA